UACAGGAGGGUGCGAGCGUUAAUCGGAAUUACUAGGGCGUAAAGGGCGCGUAGGCGGCUAAAUAAGAUUACGGUGUGGAAAAUCCCUGGGCUUAACCUAGGAAUGGCACUUGAUACUGUAUGGCUAGAGUAAGAGUAGAGGGAAGUGGAAUUUCCGGUGUAGCGGUGAAAUGCGUAGAUAUCGGAAGGAACGCCGGUGGCGAA
RNAcentral lists this ribosomal RNA (203 nucleotides) under uncultured bacterium. RNAcentral's name for it is "partial 16S ribosomal RNA". It matches the Rfam family "Bacterial small subunit ribosomal RNA", at positions 524 to 719 of the family's 1533-position model. The record is from RNAcentral.